UACGUAGGGGGCAAGCGUUGUCCGGAAUUAUUGGGCGUAAAGCGCGCGCAGGCGGUCUCCUAAGUCUGAUGUGAAAGCCCACGGCUCAACCGUGGAGGGUCAUUGGAAACUGGGAGACUUGAGUGUAGGAGAGGAAAGCGGAAUUCCACGUGUAGCGGUGAAAUGCGUAGAGAUGUGGAGGAACACCAGUGGCGAAGGCGGCUUUCUGGCCUAUAACUGACGCUGAGGCGCGAAAGCGUGGGGAGCAAAC
This 250-nucleotide ribosomal RNA is filed under the name uncultured bacterium. RNAcentral's name for it is "partial 16S ribosomal RNA". It matches the Rfam family "Bacterial small subunit ribosomal RNA", at positions 524 to 773 of the family's 1533-position model. The record is from RNAcentral.